UGAUAGAUGGGCUCGCGUCUGAUUAGCUAGUUGGUGAGAUAAAAGCCCACCAAGGCAAUGAUCAGUAGCCGGCCUGAGAGGGUGAUCGGCCACAUUGGGACUGAGACACGGCCCAAACUCCUACGGGAGGCAGCAGUGGGGAAUAUUGCACAAUGGAGGGAACUCUGAUGCAGCGACGCCGCGUGAGCGAAGAAGGAAUUCGUUUCGUAAAGCUCUGUCCUAUGGGAAGAUAAUGACGGUACCAUAGAAGAAAGCCCCGGCUAACUACGUGCCAGCAGCCGCGGUAAUACGUAGGGGGCGAGCGUUGUCCGGAAUUAUUGGGCGUAAAGGGUUCGUAGGCGGUAAUACAUGUCAGAUGUGAAAUCUUGUGGCUUAACCACAUCAAGCAUCUGAAACUGUAUAACUUGAGUGGAGGAGAGGUAAGUGGAAUUCCUAGUGUAGCGGUGAAAUGCGUAGAUAUUAGGAAGAAUACCAGUAGCGAAGGCGACUUACUGGCCUCUAACUGACGCUGAUGAACGAAAGCGUGGGUAGCAAACAGGAUUAGAUACCCUGGUAGUCCACGCCGUAAACGAUGAGUGCUAGGUGUCAGGAGUCAAAUCUCGGUGCCGUAGUUAACGCAAUAAGCACUCCGCCUGGGGAGUACGUGCGCAAGCAUGAAACUCAAAGGAAUUGACGGGGACCCGCACAAGCAGCGGAGCAUGUGGUUUAAUUCGAAGCAACGCGAAGAACCUUACCAGGACUUGACAUACUAGUGCCAAAUGUAGAGAUACAUUAUUUCUUCGGAACACUAAUACAGGUGGUGCAUGGUUGUCGUCAGCUCGUGUCGUGAGAUGUUGGGUUAAGUCCCGCAACGAGCGCAACCCCUAUGUUUAUUUGCCAGCAUUUUGGAUGGGAACUAUAGACAGACUGCCGAUAAGAAAUCGGAGGAAGGUGGGGAUGACGUCAAAUCAUCAUGCCCUAUAUGUCCUGGGCUACACACGUGCUACAAUGGUCGUUACAGAGAGCAGCUACACAGCGAUGUCACGCGAAUCUCAAAAAGGCGAUCUCAGUUCGGAUUGUACUCUGCAACUCGAGUACAUGAAGUCGGAGUUGCUAGUAAUCGCAAAUCAGAAUGUUGCGGUGAAUGCGUUCCCGGGUCUUGUACACACCGCCCGUCA
This 1157-nucleotide ribosomal RNA is filed under the name uncultured bacterium. Its description in RNAcentral is "bacterial SSU rRNA". It matches the Rfam family "Bacterial small subunit ribosomal RNA", at positions 219 to 1399 of the family's 1533-position model. The record is from RNAcentral.